This 157-nucleotide ribosomal RNA is filed under the name sordariomycete sp. Vega433. RNAcentral's name for it is "5.8S ribosomal RNA". It matches the Rfam family "5.8S ribosomal RNA". From Rfam's summary of the family: 5.8S ribosomal RNA (5.8S rRNA) is a component of the large subunit of the eukaryotic ribosome. It is transcribed by RNA polymerase I as part of the 45S precursor that also contains 18S and 28S rRNA. The record is from RNAcentral. Lineage: Eukaryota; Fungi; Ascomycota; Sordariomycetes.
AACUUUUAACAACGGAUCUCUUGGCUCUAGCAUCGAUGAAGAACGCAGCGAAACGCGAUAAGUAGUGUGAAUUGCAGAAUUCAGUGAAUCAUCGAAUCUUUGAACGCACAUGGCGCUCCCCGGCAUCCCGGGGAGCAUGCCUGUCCGAGCGUCGUUU